GCCCGGGUGGUGAAACUGGUAGACACGAGGGACUUAAAAUCCCUUGGCCAUUGCGGCCGUGCGGGUUCGAUUCCCGCCUCGGGUA
Molecule: transfer RNA, 85 nt
Filed under: Bacteroidota bacterium
Lineage: Bacteria; Pseudomonadati; Bacteroidota
Also listed under: 3 other names
Description: tRNA-Leu
Rfam family: tRNA
About the family: Transfer RNA (tRNA) molecules are approximately 80 nucleotides in length. Their secondary structure includes four short double-helical elements and three loops (D, anti-codon, and T loops).
Source: RNAcentral